This 512-nucleotide ribosomal RNA is filed under the name bacterium enrichment culture clone ALO1_GLFRUDD03HABNS. RNAcentral's name for it is "bacterial SSU rRNA". It matches the Rfam family "Bacterial small subunit ribosomal RNA", at positions 9 to 511 of the family's 1533-position model. The record is from RNAcentral.
GAGUUUGAUCCUGGCUCAGAUUGAACGCUGGCGGCAGGCCUAACACAUGCAAGUCGAGCGGAUGACGGGAGCUUGCUCCUUGAUUCAGCGGCGGACGGGUGAGUAAUGCCUAGGAAUCUGCCUGGUAGUGGGGGACAACGUUUCGAAAGGAACGCUAAUACCGCAUACGUCCUACGGGAGAAAGCAGGGGACCUUCGGGCCUUGCGCUAUCAGAUGAGCCUAGGUCGGAUUAGCUAGUUGGUGGGGUAAUGGCUCACCAAAGGCGACGAUCCGUAACUGGUCUGAGAGGAUGAUCAGUCACACUGGAACUGAGACACGGUCCAGACUCCUACGGGAGGCAGCAGUGGGGAAUAUUGGACAAUGGGCGAAAGCCUGAUCCAGCCAUGCCGCGUGUGUGAAGAAAGGUCUUCGGAUUGUAAAGCACUUUAAGUUGGGAGGAAGGGCAGUAAGUUAAUAACCUUGCUGUUUUGACGUUACCGACAGAAUAAAGCACCGGCUAAACUCUGUGCCAG